Molecule: ribosomal RNA, 778 nt
Filed under: uncultured bacterium
Lineage: Bacteria
Description: bacterial SSU rRNA
Rfam family: Bacterial small subunit ribosomal RNA
Source: RNAcentral
AGAGUUUGAUCCUGGCUCAGAACGUACGCUGGCGGCACGCCUAACACAUGCAAGUCGAGCGGGGUAGCAAUACCUAGCGGCAGACGGGUGCGUAACAUGUGGGAAUCUGCCUUUUGGUUCGGAACAACAUGGGGAAACCUGUGCUAAUACCGGAUAAGUCCUAACGGAGAAAGUUUUAAUGCCAAAAGAUGAGCCCGCAUUUGAUUAGCUUGUUGGUGAGGUAAAAGCUCACCAAGGCUAUAAUCAAUAGCUGAUUUGAGAGGAUGAUCAGCCACACUGGGACUGAGAUACGGCCCAGACUCCUACGGGAGGCAGCAGUGGGGAAUCUUGCACAAUGGGCGAAAGCCUGAUGCAGCGAUGCCGCGUGAGUGAAGAAGGCCUUUGGGUUGUAAAGCUCUUUUGUCGGGAAAGAUAAUGACUGUACCCGAAGAAUAAGGUCCGGCUAACUUCGUGCCAGCAGCCGCGGUAAUACGAAGGGACCUAGCGUAGUUCGGAAUUACUGGGCGUAAAGAGUAUGUAGGCGGCUAGAUAAGUUAAUUGUGAAAGCCCAAAGCUUAACUUUGGAACUGCAAUUAAAACUAUUUAGCUGGAGUAUGAUAGAGGAAAGCGGAAUACAUAGUGUAGAGGUGAAAUUCGUAGAUAUUAUGUAGAACACCAGUUGCGAAGGCGGCUUUCUGGAUCAUUACUGACGCUGAGAUACGAAAGUAUGGGUAGCGAAGAGGAUUAGAUACCCUCGUAGUCCAUACCAUAAACGAUGAUUAUUAAAUGUGGGGAAUUA